This 266-nucleotide ribosomal RNA is filed under the name uncultured bacterium. RNAcentral's name for it is "partial 16S ribosomal RNA". It matches the Rfam family "Bacterial small subunit ribosomal RNA", at positions 524 to 786 of the family's 1533-position model. The record is from RNAcentral.
UACGGGGGGAGCAAGCGUUGUUCGGAUUUACUGGGCGUAAAGGGCGCGUAGGCGGUCGUGACAAGUCACUUGUGAAAUCUCCGGGCUUAACUCGGAACGGUCAAGUGAUACUGUCGGACUAGAGUACAGAAGGGGCAACUGGAAUUCUCGGUGUAGCGGUGAAAUGCGUAGAUAUCGAGAGGAACACCUGCGGCGAAGGCGGGUUGCUGGGCUGAUACUGACGCUGAGGCGCGAAAGCCAGGGGAGCGAACGGGAUUAGACGUACC